Molecule: ribosomal RNA, 1029 nt
Filed under: Triticum aestivum (bread wheat)
Lineage: Eukaryota; Viridiplantae; Streptophyta; Magnoliopsida; Poales; Poaceae
Description: partial small subunit ribosomal RNA
Source: RNAcentral
AUGGCUUCGAAGCCCACGGAUAAUGCUGUAACCAGCAGCGAGGAGAAGAGAUCCAGCAGCAGCGGGCCGACGUUUGUGCUGACCGAUGCUGCACGAGCGAAGUGGCAGGCUCAAGAGAAGAUGAGACGGGAGUAUCUUGCCGAGCUACAGUGCCUCAGGGAACAAGAACCCGAUCCAGAGGUCACUCCGUUCAAUCCGAGGCCAUUCGGUGCCACCGGCCCGGAGAUCCUACCUGAUCCUAUCAGAGACAGCGUCGUCUCCAUUGGUCUGUUCCAUGGAGAGAUGAUGAUCUUCGCGUGCUCCGGAACAGCCGUACAAUGCCGCAACGGAUUGAUACGAGAUUGCCACAGCGUAUUCGUGACUACGGUGAAUCUGGCGCUGGAGUUUGAGAGCAAGAGGAAAAGGGACGAUAACUUCAGCGUCAGACCUUCAACUGAAGCUACGUCUACCAUGUGGAAACAUCUGUGCCUGUCGAUCUGCUCCAGGGCACGGGCACGGGAUGAUCUCACCGACGUUUGUCCACUAGAUGUCUUCGAGGUCACAACGCCGUCUAAAUCUAAGGAGGUAGCUGCUAUCGGGCGUAUGACUAGAGAAAUGAAUGGGUUAUUGAUGGCCUCAAGGGGUAACUUGAAGUACAGAAGGAAAUGUGCCAAAAGAAAGAGGUCUCACAGAAAAAAGAACAGGGGUUUGAUACUUGGUUGCAAAGACCUCAGGCCGUCCUCUUGUCGAAUUCAGAAGGUUGGCAUUGGAGGGCCCCUUAUUCGCAUUGAAGAUGGGAGUUUCAUCGGCAUGAACUUCUACGAUGAAAGUGGGACAACUCCUUAUCUGCCAAGGAGCAAUAUUGCAGAAGUUUUGAGGAGAGGAUUUACUCUUCUGGACAUGGGAUUUGACAAAGGUCCCAUUAUCCUGGACAGGGACGAAAAGGGGAAUGCUGCGAAGAGAAACCGGUGGUCUGUGCCCGAGCCAUAUUGGUGUCUUGACAGUUAUGGUGAUGUUCUAGACCAGCUUCGUGGAAGAGUUCUCAUGUAA